Molecule: ribosomal RNA, 341 nt
Filed under: uncultured Pseudomonadota bacterium
Lineage: Bacteria; Pseudomonadati; Pseudomonadota
Description: bacterial SSU rRNA
Rfam family: Bacterial small subunit ribosomal RNA
Source: RNAcentral
AAUGAACGCUGGCGGCGUGCAUAACACAUGCAAGUCGAACGAGAAAGCCCGGCUUGCCGGGUGAGUAAAGUGGCGAACGGGUGAGUAGCGCGUGGGUAACCUGCCCUUGAAUCCGGAAUAACUUCGCGAAAGCGAGGCUAAUACCGGAUAUUGUCCCAGGGACUGUGGUCCUUGUGAUGAAAGAUGACCUCUUCACGAAAGUUGUCGUUCAGGGAGGGGCCCGCGUACCAUUAGCUAGUUGGUAGGGUAAUGGCCUACCAAGGCGAUGAUGGUUAGCUGGUCUGAGAGGAUGACCAGCCACACUGGCACUGAAACACGGGCCAGACUCCUACGGGAGGCUG